AGAAUAUUCGUUCUAUUUGUUCUACGACCAACAAGAACACAUUGCUUGAUCUGAGUAACAAGAGCUGCGGUCGACAAUUGAAAACGAAACAUUCCUUUCCUAUCUCUCGUCAGUCACGCUCAAUCUCAUGAUCGUGAGCGCCCUCCACUUCCUCGUCCUUCUCCUCGCUCGAGUCUUCUUCCUUCUUGACGUCGCUGUCCGUGGAUUCCUCUACCCCUUCUUCGAGAUCCUGCUUGGGCAUUUCUUCGUUUGGCAAGGGGAUCGGAGGGGAGAAAUUGUCCCUGACCACAGCGUCCGGAUCGUCAACAGGAGCAGUGGCAGCCGGCGCUAGGUCGGGCUGUUGUCGGAGUCGUCUACAAACAAGAAAACACAAGAAAGACGCUAGAUGAGGCAAGAUGCAAGAUGUCUCUGAUACCUUCAUCAUCAGAUCGAUCAGGAUCCAACAGGUAAUCGAAGAAGCCCGAUCCUUUUGUGGAGAAGAAGCGGCCUCUAUCGAGAGCCAUCGGUAGAGCUCGAGCGUGAGCGCGGAGCACGAGAGAGAGCAUGCGCGAAGAUCGAUCGCUUCGUAGUAGCGGCACGGAGAGAGAAAGCCACAAUCUUGAGAUUCAUUGCACCCUGCGUCCGUCGAUAGAUCCCUGAAGAAACACAAAAGAGAAAAAAAUUGCCAGCGGCCACAAAGCUCAGUCUUCGUAAUUAAACAAGCUCGUACGUGAUUGUACACCGUGAUCCGCUAUUUGGUUUGAGCCAUGGCCCAUUGGCGAGAGAUAAAUCUGGAUGUUCUUUUCACUAUAUAUCUUCUUCAUAAACAAUUUCGAUG
Molecule: long non-coding RNA, 817 nt
Filed under: Selaginella moellendorffii
Lineage: Eukaryota; Viridiplantae; Streptophyta; Lycopodiopsida; Selaginellales; Selaginellaceae
Description: long non-coding RNA (SMOE_LNC002170)
Source: RNAcentral